AGAGGAUGCUCGUCAGCAUCACCAGCAUCAUCAUCAUAAUCGAUAUAAUCGAUGAUGGGUUGGAGACUUUGCCACCUGUUGUAAUUGUUUAAGGCGGCACGGGUCUAGAAACAGCAGAGCGCGUUUUUUUAAAGAUAAAAACGAGAAUAUUUUUUUUUUGUUAGACCUAAGGGGCAAAUAUAGAAAGCAAAGGAGACAUUGUGGAUUACAGACAUGCUGCAGGUCGCAAUGCAUUGGUACAUUUCAUGCGUUUCAUGUGCAAUGCACGAGGACAAUAAUGGCGAUUUCAUUGUGCAUGGAGUCAUUCAAGAGAUCAAGACCUAUAUUUCGGACCCAAAGUCCAUUCUGAGGGUUGGUUUCUGUCUUUGGUUAUCUAGCUGUAUGAGUUAUAACACAUUUCAUAAAGCUAGAUAACCGAAAGUAGAAAUAAUCCUUAAAAAACUGUUCAAGUUGUCAAUCAACGGCAAACGGCGGAGAGAGCGCCAAAAUUUACCUCAGAGUGAUUUUUCAUCCGCAAAAAGGCACAGUAAAGUAACAACAAGGGCAUCUGUGUGAAAGAGCCAGACAUGCUUGGAGGAAAUGUGGCAGCUUACAUUUGCCACAUCUUUUCUUCUCCGCCUACCCCAAAACCCAGAGUACCAUCUGUGCCCCUGUGGGGCUCGGGAGAACCCAUGCCAGUGCCAGCGGGGACGCAAUCCUUGUCAGCAUCCUGGCGCCAAGAUGGACUGCUUAGAAAGAAAGGGAGGCCAUCUUGACAGAGAUCUUUCAUGGGAAGCUAAGAUGGCUGGGCUGACACAUGAGAAUGGACAGUGGACUGACCUAUGCGGAGACACACUAACCUCGUGGGAUAAAAUAAAUGAAAAUCAGCUGUAAUUAGAUGGCAUGAAAGAACAAUGGAAAAAUCCCAGGCACCUGAAUCUAACCUGAAACACAUUAAAUUGUGUGUGUGUGUGUGUGUGUGUGUGUGUGUGUGUGUGUGUGUGUGUGUGUGUGUGUGUGUGUGUGUGUGUGUGUGUGUGUGUGUGUGUGUGUGUGUGUGUGUGUGUGUGUGUGUGUGUGUGUGUGUGUGUGUGUGUGUGUGUGUGUGUACCUGGUAAUUAUUACGUUGUGGGGACCUAUUGUCCCCACAUAGAUAGGAAUACCAGUGUUUUUGUGACCUUGUGGGGACAUUUAAAUUGUAUUAUUUUUCUGUUUAGAUCAUGUGAACUGUGUUUUUACAGUAGACAUCAAUUUUUUUUAACACAUUGCUGUACAGGGGGUUAGAUGUAAAACGUCUUGUACUGUAUUUAUUUCACUAUAGUGUUUUAUUUAUUAGCUGUGGAUUAUUUUGCUAUUUGUUCAAAUGCAAUGUAU
This is a long non-coding RNA of Paramisgurnus dabryanus, 1353 nucleotides long. RefSeq lists it as uncharacterized. Lineage: Eukaryota; Metazoa; Chordata; Actinopteri; Cypriniformes; Cobitidae. The record is from RefSeq and is a predicted model, not a curated record.